ACUAAUACUUCUCCGGUUUGACGAAUGACUUCGAUGAGCGAGCGGUUGUCCAACUCGUCGAUAAGCUAGCGGAGGUUGCAAGGGGGAACACCCCCUGAAAAACAAGCGCAAAAUACAAUUGGGUUUGGAGAUUUAUUAGUAGUCCGGUCUUGGAUUUUACAAAUGUAUUGAGCCUCAUGUGUUAGAGCUCAUAUUAUAG
RNAcentral lists this long non-coding RNA (199 nucleotides) under Panax ginseng (ginseng). Its description in RNAcentral is "long non-coding RNA (PGIN_LNC007529)". Lineage: Eukaryota; Viridiplantae; Streptophyta; Magnoliopsida; Apiales; Araliaceae. The record is from RNAcentral.